AGGUUAGAGAGCCUGGUCACCUCGCGAGGCGACGGAGAGGGCUCGUGCUCCCCGAGCAGAACGCCGCCCCAGCGCCCGUUGUAUGUGGAGUCGUCGCCUCCCCUGAUCUGCUGCGGCCAUCUUCGAUUUUGGCGGGUAAAAUCCAUCGAAUCCACCUCUGAGCCACAAGCUCCUCGGCGGAGGAACACGAACUUGGGCAUCGACAAAUAAUAGGCCGCGCAGCAUCGUCCACUCCGAUGAGUGACUUGAGGUAGGCCACCUCGCGUCCACUGCCGGCGGUGUAGGAGCAUCUCGUCGGCCUCGUCAGCUUUUUCCCCGAAGGCCAGCUGCAACUGCAGGAUCAAUUGGAUCUUUUUCUUGGUGUGUAUAUCAGUUGGGGUCUUAAUCGAUGACAAUGGGGAUGCGUGGAUCGAUUGAAUAUGCUUUCUGUUCAUUAGCACACAAGGUGUUCGCUGUAUUGCCUGAAAGGUGCUGGAGGGUAUUAGCUAAGGCUCUGGAUGGCAACUUCAAAUUAUCUCUGCCUGGCCGCAGCAAACUCUCUCUAUUAUAUCUAAUUUAACUGAAUUUGUAUGGUGUUAGCUAAUGCUCUCUGGAAGUCAUACGUACCUUUGAUCUCUUAUAACUAGUUAUACUCAUCAUUGUCAUGGUGUAGUUAUUCUCUAUUGCGUCUAGUUUAACUGAAUUUGUAUUAUUGUAUUUAUGAAAUCAUGUUAUAUAUUCCGAGUAUUUAUUAAUAUAAAUAUAUAUCAUACUUGCGCUUCUCAAAGAAAUUCAUAUGACUUAUUGAAUCCCCUAUGCAUUCUCUCGUACAAGCAACAAAAUAGCAUAUAAAGAUCAAAUGUAUACUUCAUCACCAUUAUUUAUGUGCCAUUGUAUGAAUUAAAUAGUACAUAGACAAUCUAAUAGAGAAGCCAUUGUACAAGUUAUCUAUUCUGUUAUCUGUGUACAUUCUUCAAAGCACUUGCGGAUAGCAACUGUCUAAACUAUUGAACAUACCUUAAAACUCCUCCCUCUCCUGAUGAAACUCCACUCAUAAUGAUCUUGCCAAGUUAGCAAUUUUGUUGAUGUGGCAACAAAUUUAGUGCUAAUGAAACUCCUAUUGAGACUUGCCUUAUUUUCAGAAGAUCGUCCCAGCAUCACGACAAUAAAUAUGUAGUUAAAUAUGUAGAGAAGUAGCCACGAUGACAUUUGGAGCAGACAUAAAUACAUAAUAAAUGCAAAUAUGUAGAGAUGAUGCAUUAUUUAAUUAAUACCUAAAACUGCUAGGCUCCAUCUCUAGUAUAUAAAUUGAUGCUUUCAGUCUAUUUUAUCACCACCAAUUGUUAAGCUGAAAUCAUUCUUGGGCAUACAACCCAACAAUCUUCAUCGCAAGGUUUUUCAAAUCCAAGAAUGACGACCGGCCGCAUGAUGAUAUUUGCUCUAGCCCUGCUUGCCCUAUCCUCAGAUACGGUAACUUAGGAGCAGGCUCAGAGACGGUAACUUUGGCAAAAUGGAUCAUCUGUACCCCAGGACCAGUUGUGUCGUAUAGCAACACUGUCUGGUUCAUGUGACAUCACGUCAUGCACCAGGUUUUGCAAGUCCAACCUUGUGGGCCCUGGCAAGCUUCAUGUCGAAUGUAAUUCUAGAGGAUGCAAUUGCACGCUCUGCCAAAAUUUUACGAUUUCUACUUAAGAAAUUGUAAUGGUCAUUCAGGUGCUGGCCAUUUAG
This is a long non-coding RNA of Setaria italica (foxtail millet), 1707 nucleotides long. RefSeq lists it as uncharacterized. The record is from RefSeq and is a predicted model, not a curated record. Lineage: Eukaryota; Viridiplantae; Streptophyta; Magnoliopsida; Poales; Poaceae. The transcript has 4 exons.